This 2318-nucleotide ribosomal RNA is filed under the name Escherichia coli. RNAcentral describes it as "partial 23S ribosomal RNA". It matches the Rfam family "Bacterial large subunit ribosomal RNA", at positions 644 to 2925 of the family's 2925-position model. Lineage: Bacteria; Pseudomonadati; Pseudomonadota; Gammaproteobacteria; Enterobacterales; Enterobacteriaceae. The record is from RNAcentral.
GGUUAACCGAAUAGGGGAGCCGAAGGGAAACCGAGUCUUAACCGGGCGUUAAGUUGCAGGGUAUAGACCCGAAACCCGGUGAUCUAGCCAUGGGCAGGUUGAAGGUUGGGUAACACUAACUGGAGGACCGAACCGACUAAUGUUGAAAAAUUAGCGGAUGACUUGUGGCUGGGGGUGAAAGGCCAAUCAAACCGGGAGAUAGCUGGUUCUCCCCGAAAGCUAUUUAGGUAGCGCCUCGUGAAUUCAUCUCCGGGGGUAGAGCACUGUUUCGGCAAGGGGGUCAUCCCGACUUACCAACCCGAUGCAAACUGCGAAUACCGGAGAAUGUUAUCACGGGAGACACACGGCGGGUGCUAACGUCCGUCGUGAAGAGGGAAACAACCCAGACCGCCAGCUAAGGUCCCAAAGUCAUGGUUAAGUGGGAAACGAUGUGGGAAGGCCCAGACAGCCAGGAUGUUGGCUUAGAAGCAGCCAUCAUUUAAAGAAAGCGUAAUAGCUCACUGGUCGAGUCGGCCUGCGCGGAAGAUGUAACGGGGCUAAACCAUGCACCGAAGCUGCGGCAGCGACACUGUGUGUUGUUGGGUAGGGGAGCGUUCUGUAAGCCUGUGAAGGUGUGCUGUGAGGCAUGCUGGAGGUAUCAGAAGUGCGAAUGCUGACAUAAGUAACGAUAAAGCGGGUGAAAAGCCCGCUCGCCGGAAGACCAAGGGUUCCUGUCCAACGUUAAUCGGGGCAGGGUGAGUCGACCCCUAAGGCGAGGCCGAAAGGCGUAGUCGAUGGGAAACAGGUUAAUAUUCCUGUACUUGGUGUUACUGCGAAGGGGGGACGGAGAAGGCUAUGUUGGCCGGGCGACGGUUGUCCCGGUUUAAGCGUGUAGGCUGGUUUUCCAGGCAAAUCCGGAAAAUCAAGGCUGAGGCGUGAUGACGAGGCACUACGGUGCUGAAGCAACAAAUGCCCUGCUUCCAGGAAAAGCCUCUAAGCAUCAGGUAACAUCAAAUCGUACCCCAAACCGACACAGGUGGUCAGGUAGAGAAUACCAAGGCGCUUGAGAGAACUCGGGUGAAGGAACUAGGCAAAAUGGUGCCGUAACUUCGGGAGAAGGCACGCUGAUAUGUAGGUGAAGUCCCUCGCGGAUGGAGCUGAAAUCAGUCGAAGAUACCAGCUGGCUGCAACUGUUUAUUAAAAACACAGCACUGUGCAAACACGAAAGUGGACGUAUACGGUGUGACGCCUGCCCGGUGCCGGAAGGUUAAUUGAUGGGGUCAGCGCAAGCGAAGCUCUUGAUCGAAGCCCCGGUAAACGGCGGCCGUAACUAUAACGGUCCUAAGGUAGCGAAAUUCCUUGUCGGGUAAGUUCCGACCUGCACGAAUGGCGUAAUGAUGGCCAGGCUGUCUCCACCCGAGACUCAGUGAAAUUGAACUCGCUGUGAAGAUGCAGUGUACCCGCGGCAAGACGGAAAGACCCCGUGAACCUUUACUAUAGCUUGACACUGAACAUUGAGCCUUGAUGUGUAGGAUAGGUGGGAGGCUUUGAAGUGUGGACGCCAGUCUGCAUGGAGCCGACCUUGAAAUACCACCCUUUAAUGUUUGAUGUUCUAACGUGGACCCGUGAUCCGGGUUGCGGACAGUGUCUGGUGGGUAGUUUGACUGGGGCGGUCUCCUCCUAAAGAGUAACGGAGGAGCACGAAGGUUGGCUAAUCCUGGUCGGACAUCAGGAGGUUAGUGCAAUGGCAUAAGCCAGCUUGACUGCGAGCGUGACGGCGCGAGCAGGUGCGAAAGCAGGUCAUAGUGAUCCGGUGGUUCUGAAUGGAAGGGCCAUCGCUCAACGGAUAAAAGGUACUCCGGGGAUAACAGGCUGAUACCGCCCAAGAGUUCAUAUCGACGGCGGUGUUUGGCACCUCGAUGUCGGCUCAUCACAUCCUGGGGCUGAAGUAGGUCCCAAGGGUAUGGCUGUUCGCCAUUUAAAGUGGUACGCGAGCUGGGUUUAGAACGUCGUGAGACAGUUCGGUCCCUAUCUGCCGUGGGCGCUGGAGAACUGAGGGGGGCUGCUCCUAGUACGAGAGGACCGGAGUGGACGCAUCACUGGUGUUCGGGUUGUCAUGCCAAUGGCACUGCCCGGUAGCUAAAUGCGGAAGAGAUAAGUGCUGAAAGCAUCUAAGCACGAAACUUGCCCCGAGAUGAGUUCUCCCUGACCCUUUAAGGGUCCUGAAGGAACGUUGAAGACGACGACGUUGAUAGGCCGGGUGUGUAAGCGCAGCGAUGCGUUGAGCUAACCGGUACUAAUGAACCGUGAGGCUUAACCUUACAACGCCGAAGGUGUUU